Molecule: long non-coding RNA, 1340 nt
Organism: Alligator mississippiensis (American alligator)
Lineage: Eukaryota; Metazoa; Chordata; Crocodylia; Alligatoridae
Exons: 3
Source: RefSeq, a predicted model, not a curated record
CUUCUGGGGGAGGAGCCUCUGGGAGGAAGUUGGCCAUGCCCCUUCCUGUCCCAGGCUGUUGCUGCUGCUGGUUCCUGCAAGCUUGGUCUCAGGACCUUCUAGGGAGAAGAUUGCCAGGCCCUUUCCUGCCUCUUGCUACUGCUAGCUGCUGGCUUCGUCUCAAAGCUUUAGGGAGUGAGUGGGCCACACCCCUUCCUGCCUUGGGCUGCUGCUGCUGCCCCCACCACAGGGGGCUGGGGGGUGUCCUCUGCUGCACGCUGCUGCCCCCCUUUGGGGAGGGGCCCACUGCACUGCACCGCACCCCAGCUUCUGCAUCCUUGUUCCAGUCUGCUGCCCAGCCCACCCCCAAACCGUGGCUGGGGGACAGCCUAGGGAGGGAGCCUGCGCUGCCUUUGGGACCCUCCUCCCGACCAUCACUACCAGUGCCUGAAGGUGCUUUGCUUGCCCCAGCUGCGUUGGCAGGCCACCCCCACCUUCACCUCCACUUUCACUGAGUGGCUGAACUGGACAGCUCCCACCGUCGCUGCUGCUGCCAUUAUUUCUGUUGCUGCCUCAUCUCAGGAAAGAGGGAGAUAUCCUGCUGCAUCACCUUGUACCACCUGAUACCACACCUGCACUGGAUUACUUCCUAAUUGACUGACUGGUCCUGCCCUCCCCCACAGCUACCUCACUGCAUCUGAUCCUGCUUUGUCUUCCUGCUUACUGCUCUGCUGCUGAGUGCCUGGUUGGAGGCCUGAGCGGCUUCUGGACUUAUCUUCAACGAACAAAGCCCCUCUACCACUCCAGCCAGCUUUUACAUCUGCCUCAGCAGCCUUCCAUGUGUGUUCUUACCCUUGUGUGGAGUUGGGCAGAUCCAGUGAAGAGCGAUCCCCUUUGCUGAAGUUGGACUGAGCCCAUAUGGAGCGCCUGGCUCGAGCCAGCAUAACCCUUCACUCAGCUGCUGUUUCCAGUGAAACUAGUACUGCGGCUUUGGUGAUGGCAUCAGCCCAACCUCCAAAUGUUCUUUGGCAGGCUGCCAACAUCAUCCCCAAGGCAUUAAAAGUUUGGAAGAUGGAAAGACAUCUGGAUGCUAGACAUAUUGCUGUGAAAAUGACUAUUACUAAUAAUAACCAUAAUAAUAACAACAAUUUCUGUUUGAUGGCACCACAUGCACGCAGACCUCGGGGCACACUUAACAAUGCUUAAUAAACUAAAUGACUACAUUUACAACUCACACAAUAUGUCUGUCCAUCCCUUGAUAAAUCACAAUGAAAAAGGGAGGGAUGAUACAAACCCACAGAACAGCAAAAGAGCAGAACAUAAUCAAAUGCCAAAAACAUGGUAAAGCUAUACAGGUCCUU